UGCGGCGUGCUAAUACAUGCAAGUCGAACGCUUUGUGGUUCAACUGAUUUGAAGAAGCUUGCUCAGAUAUGACGAUGGACAUUGCAAAGAGUGGCGAACGGGUGAGUAACACGUGGGAAACCUACCUCUUAGCAGGGGAUAACAUUUGGAAACAGAUGCUAAUACCGUAUAACAAUGACAACCGCAUGGUUGUUAUUUAAAAGAUGGUUCUGCUAUCACUAAGAGAUGGUCCCGCGGUGCAUUAGCUAGUUGGUAAGGUAAUGGCUUACCAAGGCGAUGAUGCAUAGCCGAGUUGAGAGACUGAUCGGCCACAAUGGGACUGAGACACGGCCCAUACUCCUACGGGAGGCAGCAGUAGGGAAUCUUCCACAAUGGGCGAAAGCCUGAUGGAGCAACGCCGCGUGUGUGAUGAAGGGUUUCGGCUCGUAAAACACUGUUGUAAGAGAAGAAUGACAUUGAGAGUAACUGUUCAAUGUGUGACGGUAUCUUACCAGAAAGGAACGGCUAAAUACGUGCCAGCAGCCGCGGUAAUACGUAUGUUCCAAGCGUUAUCCGGAUUUAUUGGGCGUAAAGCGAGCGCAGACGGUUAUUUAAGUCUGAAGUGAAAGCCCUCAGCUCAACUGAGGAAUUGCUUUGGAAACUGGAUGACUUGAGUGCAGUAGAGGAAAGUGGAACUCCAUGUGUAGCGGUGAAAUGCGUAGAUAUAUGGAAGAACACCAGUGGCGAAGGCGGCUUUCUGGACUGUAACUGACGUUGAGGCUCGAAAGUGUGGGUAGCAAACAGGAUUAGAUACCCUGGUAGUCCACACCGUAAACGAUGAGUGCUAGGUGUUUGAGGGUUUCCGCCCUUAAGUGCCGCAGCUAACGCAUUAAGCACUCCGCCUGGGGAGUACGACCGCAAGGUUGAAACUCAAAGGAAUUGACGGGGACCCGCACAAGCGGUGGAGCAUGUGGUUUAAUUCGAAGCAACGCGAAGAACCUUACCAGGUCUUGACAUCCCUUGACAACUCCAGAGAUGGAGCGUUCCCUUCGGGGACAAGGUGACAGGUGGUGCAUGGUUGUCGUCAGCUCGUGUCGUGAGAUGUUGGGUUAAGUCCCGCAACGAGCGCAACCCUUAUUACUAGUUGCCAGCAUUCAGUUGGGCACUCUAGUGAGACUGCCGGUGACAAACCGGAGGAAGGUGGGGAUGACGUCAAAUCAUCAUGCCCCUUAUGACCUGGGCUACACACGUGCUACAAUGGCGUAUACAACGAGUUGCCAACCCGCGAGGGUGAGCUAAUCUCUUAAAGUACGUCUCAGUUCGGAUUGUAGGCUGCAACUCGCCUACAUGAAGUCGGAAUCGCUAGUAAUCGCGGAUCAGCACGCCGCGGUGAAUACGUUCCCGGGUCUUGUACACACCGCCCGUCACACCAUGAGAGUUUGUAACACCCAAAGCCGGUGGGGUAACCUUCGGGAGCCAGCCGUCUAA
RNAcentral lists this ribosomal RNA (1467 nucleotides) under Weissella confusa. RNAcentral's name for it is "bacterial SSU rRNA". It matches the Rfam family "Bacterial small subunit ribosomal RNA". Lineage: Bacteria; Bacillati; Bacillota; Bacilli; Lactobacillales; Lactobacillaceae. The record is from RNAcentral.